Brassica oleracea var. oleracea is the source of this 1221-nucleotide long non-coding RNA. RefSeq lists it as uncharacterized. The record is from RefSeq and is a predicted model, not a curated record. Lineage: Eukaryota; Viridiplantae; Streptophyta; Magnoliopsida; Brassicales; Brassicaceae. The transcript has 3 exons.
CGAAAACCGAAAAAAAUAGACACAUCUCAUUCUCUCUCGAUACCACAUAAACACAAAGAACCCUAAUCUCUCAUCCUCUCUCGAAAAUCUCACAACCUCUCUCAAAUCUCACUCUUUCGAACCCUAAUCGCCCAAUUCCAAAAACGCCUUAUCUCUCUUUUGAGACCGAAAGAACCCUAAUCUCUCAUCUCUCUCCCGAAACGAUGGCAUCAAGAAAGAAGCAGAAACAUACAAAAACAAUUCUAGGACGACAGCUCCUCCUGUCCCCAAUCGCCAAUCUCCACCAGGCGUGAGUGACUACCCACCUCCCAGGCAGCUCUUUCAAGACUCACAGGUCCAAACUCAAGCUGCUUCAGCUACUCUUCAUCAACCAUCUCCACCGCAACAACCUCGACGGUCUGAAACUUCACCGACGCAAAAUUCUCCGAGCAGUUCUCAGGCUCAAGACUCUGCGACUACAGAACGUCCAGAAGCUGUGGAUCCAACUCUCUCUGAUGAGCAGUUGCGUGUAGUCAACGAACUGCUAUCCCAGCCAAACCGGGGCCUUGACAUACCGAUCCUCUCUCCAACAUUUGAGCCUGCAACAACAUGGUUUCGCAUAGAUGAUUGCAUCUGAAACGAUGUAGUUGGAGUAGCACAGGCAUUAACUGAGGUAGUGCGUAAGACCCACAUUAUAAAAAUGGGACCUGCAUUGACAAAAGAGCAGAAGCUUAUGUGAAGGCAGCUGAAUCUCUUGUCUUGGAGCGUCACAAAGUUUCACUUGACCUGUGAAACUGCAUCGGCACCCUCUAACCAGCAGCUCACUGUUGCUUAUAUUGAAAUUGUAACAAAUGUUGAUGCUGAACCCAAGGAGUCUCCGGCAGCUUCUCUAUGUAGAAACGUUGGAGUUGAUGGACGAUUGACCACCGUGCAGAGUGUUGUGACUGGGUAGAAGGAUGACGUUUCUAGGUUGAAGUAAAGCAUCGACUUGUUGUUGAAGAUGAAUGGAGUGGAUCCUAUUACUCGUCAACAUAUUCCACGUUAGAGUGGUGCAUCUGCUCCAAGUCCCCAUUCUGAUUCUAGCCAAGAACUUAAUCAGCACUCUCCCACUCAUUAACUCUUCAAUCUAUUCUAGGUGUAUUGCGUUUCCUUGUGCAAUAUUAAUCUCUAACAUCCGUAGAUGUCUUUUGUAAAAUCAUUAGAUGUUUUCUUUAACUUAAAAUUGUAAUGAUAUUUUGAAUG